RNAcentral lists this ribosomal RNA (497 nucleotides) under uncultured bacterium. Its description in RNAcentral is "partial 16S ribosomal RNA". It matches the Rfam family "Bacterial small subunit ribosomal RNA", at positions 28 to 507 of the family's 1533-position model. The record is from RNAcentral.
GAUGAACGCUGGCGGCGUGCCUAAUACAUGCAAGUCGAGCGAACGGACGAUAAGCUUGCUUCUCUGAUGUUAGCGGCUGACGUGUGAGUAACACGUGUAUAACCUACCUAUAAGUCUGGUAUAACUUCGGGAAACCGGAUCUAAUACCGUAUAAUAUUUUGAACCGCAUGGUUCAAAAGUGAAAGACGGUCUUGCUGUCACUUAUAGAUGGAUCCGCGCUGCAUUAGCUAGUUGGUAAGGUAACGGCUUACCAAGGCAACGAUGCAUAGCCGACGUGAGAGGGUGAUCGGCCACACUGGAACUGAGACACGGUCCAGACUCCUACGGGAGGCAGCAGUAGGGAAUCGUCCGCAAUGGGCGAAAGCCUGACGGAGCAACGCCGCGUGAGUGAUGAAGGUCUUCGGAUCGUAAAACUCUGUUAUUAGGGAAGAACAUAUGUGUAAGAAAAUGUGCACAUCAUGACGGUACCUAAUCAGAAAGCCACGGCUAACUACGUG